Unclassified non-coding RNA from Rhinopithecus bieti (black snub-nosed monkey), 112 nucleotides. It matches the Rfam family "Y RNA". From Rfam's summary of the family: Y RNAs are components of the Ro ribonucleoprotein particle (Ro RNP), in association with Ro60 and La proteins. The Y RNAs and Ro60 and La proteins are well conserved, but the function of the Ro RNP is not known. The record is from Ensembl. Lineage: Eukaryota; Metazoa; Chordata; Mammalia; Primates; Cercopithecidae.
GGCUGGUCUGAAGGUGGUGAGUUCUCUCAGCUGACUGUUCACAGUCAGUGACACAUCCAACCCUUGUUCUACUCUCUCCCCCUUCCUCACUACUGUACUUGACUAGUCUUAA